UCCUACGGGAGGCAGCAGUGAGGAAUAUUGGUCAAUGGGUGAGAGCCUGAACCAGCCAUCCCGCGUGCAGGAUGACGGUCCUAGUGAUUGUAAACUGCUUUUCUAUGAGAUGAAUAAGAAUUACGUGUAGUUCGAUGACCGUAUUAUAGGAAUAAGCAUCGGCUAACUCCGUGCCAGCAGCCGCGGUAAUACGGAGGAUGCAAGCGUUAUCCGGAUUUAUUAGGUUUAAAGGGUGCGUAGGUGGGCGUUUAAGUCAGUGGUUAAAGCCAUUAGCUUAACUAAUGUAUGCCAUUGAUACUGGAUGUCUUGAAUGUGGUAGAGGUAGGCGGAAUGUGUUGUGUAGCGGUGAAAUGCUUAGAUAUAACACAGAACACCGAUUGCGAAGGCAGCUUACUAUUCCAUUAUUGACGCUGAUGCACGAAAGCGUGGGGAUCAAACAGGAUUAGAUACCCUGGUAGUCCACGCUGUAAACUAUGAUCACUCGUUUUUGGCGAUAUAUAGUCAGAGACUGAGCGAAAGCAUUAAGUGAUCCACCUGGGGAGUACGUUCGCAAGAAUGAAACUCAAAGGAAUUGACGGGGGCCCGCACAAGCGGAGGAACAUGUGGUUUAAUUCGAUGAUACGCGAGGAACCUUACCUGGGCUUAAAUGUAUAGUGCAUAAUGUGGAAACACAUUUUUCCUUCGGGACUCUUUACAAGGUGCUGCAUGGUUGUCGUCAGCUCGUGCCGUGAGGUGUCGGGUUAAGUCCCAUAACGAGCGCAACCCUCAUCGUUAGUUGCCAACACGUGAAGGUGGGGACUCUAGCGAGACUGCCGGUGUAAACCGUGAGGAAGGUGGGGAUGACGUCAAAUCAGCACGGCCCUUAUGUCCAGGGCUACACACGUGUUACAAUGGCCAAUACAAAGGGCAGCCACCUGGUGACAGGGCGCUAAUCCUCAAAGUUGGUCUUAGUUCGGAUCGGAGUCUGCAACUCGACUCCGUGAAGCUGGAUUCGCUAGUAAUCGUAGAUCAGCCAUGCUACGGUGAAUACGUUCCCGGGCCUUGUACACACCGCCCGUCAAGCCAUGGAAGUUGGGGGUACCUGAAGUCCGUAACCGCGAGGAGCGACCUAAAGGCAAAACAGGUAACUGGGGCUAAGUCGUAACAAGGUAACCA
This 1155-nucleotide ribosomal RNA is filed under the name uncultured bacterium. RNAcentral describes it as "bacterial SSU rRNA". It matches the Rfam family "Bacterial small subunit ribosomal RNA", at positions 337 to 1502 of the family's 1533-position model. The record is from RNAcentral.